AAGCUGAGUAUCUUGUACUGAAUACAUAGGUGCAAGAGGCGAACCAGGGGAACUGAAACAUCUAAGUACCCUGAGGAAAAGAAAUCAACCGAGAUUCCCUUAGUAGUGGCGAGCGAACGGGGACCAGCCCUUAAGUUGGUUUGAGAUUAGUGGAACGCUCUGGAAAGUGCGGCCAUAGUGGGUGAUAGCCCCGUACACGAAAAUCUCUUGUCAAUGAAAUCGAGUAGGACGGAGCACGAGAAACUUUGUCUGAAUAUGGGGGGACCAUCCUCCAAGGCUAAAUACUACUGACUGACCGAUAGUGAACCAGUACCGUGAGGGAAAGGCGAAAAGAACCCCGGAGAGGGGAGUGAAAUAGAACCUGAAACCGUAUGCGUACAAGCAGUGGGAGCCUACUUUGUUAGGUGACUGCGUACCUUUUGUAUAAUGGGUCAGCGACUUAUAUUCAGUGGCGAGCUUAACCGAAUAGGGGAGGCGUAGCGAAAGCGAGUCUUAAUAGGGCGUUUAGUCGCUGGGUAUAGACCCGAAACCGGGCGAUCUAUCCAUGGGCAGGUUGAAGGUUAGGUAACACUGACUGGAGGACCGAACCGACUACCGUUGAAAAGUUAGCGGAUGACCUGUGGAUCGGAGUGAAAGGCUAAUCAAGCUCGGAGAUAGCUGGUUCUCCUCGAAAGCUAUUUAGGUAGCGCCUCAUGUAUCACUCCAGGGGGUAGAGCACUGUUUCGGCUAGGGGGUCAUCCCGACUUACCAAACCGAUGCAAACUCCGAAUACCUGGAAGUGCCGAGCAUGGGAGACACACGGCGGGUGCUAACGUCCGUCGUGAAAAGGGAAACAACCCAGACCGUCAGCUAAGGUCCCAAAGUCAUGGUUAAGUGGGAAACGAUGUGGGAAGGCUUAGACAGCUAGGAGGUUGGCUUAGAAGCAGCCACCCUUUAAAGAAAGCGUAAUAGCUCACUAGUCGAGUCGGCCUGCGCGGAAGAUGUAACGGGGCUCAAACCAUGCACCGAAGCUACGGGUGUCAUCUUUGAUGACGCGGUAGAGGAGCGUUCUGUAAGCCUGUGAAGGUGAGUUGAGAAGCUUGCUGGAGGUAUCAGAAGUGCGAAUGCUGACAUGAGUAACGACAAUGCGAGUGAAAAACUCGCACGCCGAAAGACCAAGGUUUCCUGCGCAACGUUAAUCGACGCAGGGUUAGUCGGUCCCUAAGGCGAGGCUGAAAAGCGUAGUCGAUGGAAAACAGGUUAAUAUUCCUGUACUUCCAGUUAUUGCGAUGGAGGGACGGAGAAGGUUAGGCCAGCCUGGCGUUGGUUGUCCAGGUUUAAGGUGGUAGGCUGAAAUCUUAGGCAAAUCCGGGAUUUCAAGGCCGAGAGCUGAUGACGAGUUGCCU
This 1385-nucleotide ribosomal RNA is filed under the name Pseudomonas putida. Its description in RNAcentral is "partial 23S ribosomal RNA". It matches the Rfam family "Bacterial large subunit ribosomal RNA", at positions 141 to 1579 of the family's 2925-position model. The record is from RNAcentral. Lineage: Bacteria; Pseudomonadati; Pseudomonadota; Gammaproteobacteria; Pseudomonadales; Pseudomonadaceae.